RNAcentral lists this ribosomal RNA (253 nucleotides) under uncultured bacterium. RNAcentral describes it as "partial 16S ribosomal RNA". It matches the Rfam family "Bacterial small subunit ribosomal RNA", at positions 524 to 776 of the family's 1533-position model. The record is from RNAcentral.
GACGAACCGUACAAACGUUAUUCGGAAUCACUGGGCUUAAAGGGUGCGUAGGCGGCGGCGCAAGUUGGGUGUGAAAUCCCUCGGCUCAACCGAGGAACUGCGCUCAAAACUGCGUCGCUUGAGGAAGAUAGAGGUGAGUGGAACUUAGGGUGGAGCGGUGAAAUGCGUUGAUAUCCUAAGGAACACCAGUGGCGAAAGCGACUCACUGGGUCUUCUCUGACGCUGAGGCACGAAAGCUAGGGUAGCGAACGGG